AUACGUAGGGGGCAAGCGUUAUCCGGAAUUAUUGGGCGUAAAGAGUGCGUAGGUGGUUACCUAAGCAGGGGGUGAAAGGCACUGGCUUAACCAAUGUCAGCCCCCUGAACUGGGCUACUUGAGUGCAGGAGAGGAAAGUGGAAUUCCUAGUGUAGCGGUGAAAUGCGUAGAUAUUAGGAGGAACACCAGUGGCGAAGGCGACUUUCUGGACUGUUACUGACGCUGAGGCGCGAAAGUGUGGGGAGCAAACAGGAUUAGAUACCCUGGUAGUCCACACUGUAAACGAUGGGCGCUCGUCGUCGGCGGCAGACAGUCGGCGGCCAAGCGAAAGCGAUAAGCGCCCCACCUGGGGAGUACGGUCGCAAGGCUGAAACUCAAAGGAAUUGGCGGGG
Molecule: ribosomal RNA, 392 nt
Filed under: uncultured bacterium
Lineage: Bacteria
Description: partial 16S ribosomal RNA
Rfam family: Bacterial small subunit ribosomal RNA
Source: RNAcentral